GCUGGCUGUCAGUGUUAUAGCGCAGCUUCCUGACAAGCUGGAAGUGACAAACAAAGGCUGGGGAAAUACUUGUCUUUAUAGCUGUUGUAAGGAGGAAGGAGGAAGAGAGAGAGAGAUGGUGGAGAUGAAGAGUUCAGGAGAAAGGCACCAGACAAACAAAUUAAAAAGACCUUCACACUCCCCCUUGGGCAUUACAGAGCUGCCUUCCUGCACGUAAGAAGCAUGUGUAUCUGUGUUUGUGUGUGUAUAUCCACCACUUGAAACAUCUUUCUUCCUGUUUACCACUGUUCGCUCACCAGCCUGAGAAUCCUCAGACCCCCUGCAAUGGUCCUUCCUUUACGUCAAGUGAAAUAAA
Molecule: long non-coding RNA, 355 nt
Organism: Clarias gariepinus (North African catfish)
Lineage: Eukaryota; Metazoa; Chordata; Actinopteri; Siluriformes; Clariidae
Exons: 3
Source: RefSeq, a predicted model, not a curated record